This 220-nucleotide unclassified non-coding RNA is filed under the name uncultured Propionibacteriaceae bacterium. RNAcentral's name for it is "contains 16S-23S intergenic spacer region". Lineage: Bacteria; Bacillati; Actinomycetota; Actinomycetes; Propionibacteriales; Propionibacteriaceae. The record is from RNAcentral.
UCCGAGUUGACCCCGGCAGUCUCCCAUGAGUCCCCACCAUUACGUGCUGGCAACAUGGAACGAGGGUUGCGCUCGUUGCGGGACUUAACCCAACAUCUCACGACACGAGCUGACGACAGCCAUGCACCACCUGUGCACGGCCCUUACGGACCCGACAUCUCUGCCGGAUUUCCGUGCAUGUCAAGCCGGAGGAAGGUGGGGAUGACGUAGACCUUGGACC